RNAcentral lists this transfer RNA (72 nucleotides) under Capra hircus (goat). It matches the Rfam family "tRNA". From Rfam's summary of the family: Transfer RNA (tRNA) molecules are approximately 80 nucleotides in length. RNAcentral also lists the same sequence under 1 other name. The record is from Rfam by way of RNAcentral. Lineage: Eukaryota; Metazoa; Chordata; Mammalia; Artiodactyla; Bovidae.
UCCCUGGUAGCUCAGAUGGUAAAGCGUCUGCCUACAAUGUGGGAGACCCAGGUUUGAUCCCUGGGUUGGGAA